CUUGUUGAAUGUAUGUUGGACUAAUGGAUGUUUGUGUAUGAUUAUGAUAUUUGUUAAUGUUUUCUUACUAAUCAUGGUCAUUUGGUUUUUGUAUUAGUUUCUUUUAUAAUAAACUCGUCCUUGCCAUUUUUGUACCGUGUGGUUGGUACCUAUGAUGAUCACGAACCUUCAUUCGUGGGAGCAGACAGACACCGGUAAAGUACGUGAAGUGAGAUUCUUUUGUGGAGCCGUCAAGCUGACGUGAUGACGU
This 250-nucleotide long non-coding RNA is filed under the name Glycine max (soybean). RNAcentral describes it as "long non-coding RNA (GMAX_LNC002465)". The record is from RNAcentral. Lineage: Eukaryota; Viridiplantae; Streptophyta; Magnoliopsida; Fabales; Fabaceae.